AUACGUAGGGAGCGAGCGUUGUCCGGAAUUACUGGUUGUAAAGGGAGCGUAGGCGGGACUGCAAGUCAGAUGUGAAAUACCUGGGCUUAACCCCGGAGCUGCAUUUGAACCUGUGGUUUUUGAGUGAAGUAGAGGCUAGCGGAAUUCCUGGUGUAGCGGUGAAAUGCGUAGAUAUCAGGAGGAACACCGGUGGCGAAGGCGGCUUGCUGGGCUUUUACUGACGCUGAGGCUCGAAAGCGUGGGUAGCAAACAGGAUUAGAUACCCUGGUAGUCCACGCUGUAAACGAUGAUUACUAGGUGUGGGGGGACUGACCCCUUCCGUGCCGCAGUUAACACAAUAAGUAAUCCACCUGGGGAGUACGGCCGCAAGGUUGAAACUCAAAUGAAUUGGCGGGG
Molecule: ribosomal RNA, 396 nt
Filed under: uncultured bacterium
Lineage: Bacteria
Description: partial 16S ribosomal RNA
Rfam family: Bacterial small subunit ribosomal RNA
Source: RNAcentral